UAAUACCUUUAAGUUACCUGCAAACUGUUAGGAGGUCCUGUGAAUUUUAAAAGUCUCCAUCUUGGUCUAGCACCCAAAAAAAUCGUGCACACCCACACUAAACGGGCAUGUGCUAGUCAAUGACAAAUCAGAAAUAACUAACUGCCCACCUGGGCUGUCCUAAGCCAAGCUAGAGCCAACCAUUGGCAUUUGUGAGACACAGGAAGUGAGGUAGGGAACAGCCUCUGGAAUUCGCUCACUUCCUGUGUAGAGAGCUAGAGAGGAGUUGGUGUUAGGAGCUUGGAGAGGGAGGACGCCCGCAGACAGCUUUCCUUCAGAUUGGUCACCAUGAAAAUCAGGAAUUACAGAUAGAUCAACUGAAAUGAUGACCUUUAUUUCUCAAGUAACACAGACUAGAUGAAGAAGUUAUUGAAAAAGUCACAAUAAUAACACAGCAUUAAAUGGAAUACAAAAGCUACAUUAAAAAAGGAGACGUGCAGAUGGUCGAAAAAGGAUGCUUUGCAACAAUUUGUAAAAAAUAACACAAAACAAAACAAAACAAAACCCAAGCCUCAAGAAAAUGUAUUUUUAAAAAUCCAUUUUAGUAGCUGU
This 591-nucleotide long non-coding RNA is filed under the name Monodelphis domestica (gray short-tailed opossum). Its description in RNAcentral is "lncRNA (ENSMODG00000029864.2)". The record is from RNAcentral. Lineage: Eukaryota; Metazoa; Chordata; Mammalia; Didelphimorphia; Didelphidae.